GAUGAACGCUGGCGGCGUGCCUAAUACAUGCAAGUCGAGCGAACAGACGAGGAGCUUGCUCCUCUGACGUUAGCGGCGGACGGGUGAGUAACACGUGGAUAACCUACCUAUAAGACUGGGAUAACUUCGGGAAACCGGAGCUAAUACCGGAUAAUAUAUUGAACCGCAUGGUUCAAUAGUGAAAGACGGUUUUGCUGUCACUUAUAGAUGGAUCCGCGCCGCAUUAGCUAGUUGGGAAGGUAACGGCUUACCAAGGCAACGAUGCGUAGCCGACCUGAGAGGCUGAUCGGCCACAUUGGAACUGGGACACGGUCCAGACGCCUACGGGAGGCAGCAGUAGGGAAUCUUCCGCAAAGGGCGAAAGCCUGACGGAGCAACGCCGCGUGAGUGAUGAAGGUCUUCGGAUCGUAAAACUCUGUUAUUAGGGAAGAACAAAUGUGUAAGUAACUAUGCACGUCUUGACGGUACCUAAUCAGAAAGCCACGGCUAACUACGUG
This 497-nucleotide ribosomal RNA is filed under the name uncultured bacterium. Its description in RNAcentral is "partial 16S ribosomal RNA". It matches the Rfam family "Bacterial small subunit ribosomal RNA", at positions 28 to 507 of the family's 1533-position model. The record is from RNAcentral.